UUAAGUGACUAAGCGUACACGGUGGAUGCCUAGGCAGUCAGAGGCGAUGAAGGGCGUGCUAAUCUGCGAAAAGCGUCGGUAAGGUGAUAUGAACCGUUAUAACCGGCGAUACCCGAAUGGGGAAACCCAGUGUGUUUCGACACACUAUCAUGUCAUGAAUACAUAGUGGCAUGAGGCGAACCGGGGGAACUGAAACAUCUAAGUACCCCGAGGAAAAGAAAUCAACCGAGAUUCCCCCAGUAGCGGCGAGCGAACGGGGAGGAGCCCAGAACCUGAAUCGGCUUGUGUGUUAGUGGAAGCGUCUGGAAAGUCGCGCAGUAAAGGGUGAUAGCCCCGUACACUAAAAUGCACAGGUCGUGAGUUCGAUGAGUAGGGCGGGACACGUGACAUCCUGUCUGAAUAUGGGGGGACCAUCCUCCAAGGCUAAAUACUCCUGACUGACCGAUAGUGAACCAGUACCGUGAGGGAAAGGCGAAAAGAACCCCGGCGAGGGGAGUGAAACAGAACCUGAAACCGUGUACGUACAAGCAGUGGGAGCACCUUCGUGGUGUGACUGCGUACCUUUUGUAUAAUGGGUCAGCGACUUAUAUUUUGUAGCAAGGUUAACCGUAUAGGGGAGCCGUAGGGAAACCGAGUCUUAACUGGGCGAAUAGUUGCAAGGUAUAGACCCGAAACCCGGUGAUCUAGCCAUGGGCAGGUUGAAGGUUGGGUAACACUAACUGGAGGACCGAACCGACUAAUGUUGAAAAAUUAGCGGAUGACUUGUGGCUGGGGGUGAAAGGCCAAUCAAACCGGGAGAUAGCUGGUUCUCCCCGAAAGCUAUUUAGGUAGCGCCUCGUGAACUCAUCUUCGGGGGUAGAGCACUGUUUCGGCUAGGGGGCCAUCCCGGCUUACCAAACCGAUGCAAACUCCGAAUACCGAAGAAUGUUAUCACGGGAGACACACGGCGGGUGCUAACGUCCGUCGUGAAGAGGGAAACAACCCAGACCGCCAGCUAAGGUCCCAAAGUCAUGGUUAAGUGGGAAACGAUGUGGGAAGGCACAGACAGCCAGGAUGUUGGCUUAGAAGCAGCCAUCAUUUAAAGAAAGCGUAAUAGCUCACUGGUCGAGUCGGCCUGCGCGGAAGAUGUAACGGGGCUAAACCAUGCACCGAAGCUGCGGCAGCGACGCUUAGGCGUUGUUGGGUAGGGGAGCGUUCUGUAAGCCGUCGAAGGUGGCCUGUGAGGGUUGCUGGAGGUAUCAGAAGUGCGAAUGCUGACAUAAGUAACGAUAAAGCGGGUGAAAAGCCCGCUCGCCGGAAGACCAAGGGUUCCUGUCCAACGUUAAUCGGGGCAGGGUGAGUCGACCCCUAAGGCGAGGCUGAAAAGCGUAGUCGAUGGGAAACAGGUUAAUAUUCCUGUACUUGGUGUUACUGCGAAGGGGGGACGGAGAAGGCUAGGCUGGCCGGGCGACGGUUGUCCCGGUUUAAGCGUGUAGGGGGUGUGACCUGGUAAAUCCGGUUGCAUAUCAACCCUGAGGCGUGAUGACGAUGCACUACGGUGCAGAAGUAGUUGAUGCCCUGCUUCCAGGAAAAUCCUCUAAGCUCCAGGUAACAUUAAAUCGUACCCCAAACCGACACAGGUGGUCAGGUAGAGAAUACCAAGGCGCUUGAGAGAACUCGGGUGAAGGAACUAGGCAAAAUGGUGCCGUAACUUCGGGAGAAGGCACGCUGGCAUGUAGGUGAAGUCCCUCGCGGAUGGAGCUGAAGCCAGUCGAAGAUACCAGCUGGCUGCAACUGUUUAAUAAAAACACAGCACUGUGCAAACACGAAAGUGGACGUAUACGGUGUGACGCCUGCCCGGUGCUGGAAGGUUAAUUGAUGGGGUCAGCCGCAAGGCGAAGCUCUUGAUCGAAGCCCCAGUAAACGGCGGCCGUAACUAUAACGGUCCUAAGGUAGCGAAAUUCCUUGUCGGGUAAGUUCCGACCUGCACGAAUGGCGUAAUGAUGGCCAGGCUGUCUCCACCCGAGACUCAGUGAAAUUGAACUCGCUGUGAAGAUGCAGUGUACCCGCGGCAAGACGGAAAGACCCCGUGAACCUUUACUAUAGCUUGACACUGAACAUUGAGCCUUGAUGUGUAGGAUAGGUGGGAGGCUUUGAAGCGUGGACGCCAGUCUGCGUGGAGCCAUCCUUGAAAUACCACCCUUUAAUGUUUGAUGUUCUAACUCGGCCCCGUGAUCCGGGGUGAGGACAGUGUCUGGUGGGUAGUUUGACUGGGGCGGUCUCCUCCCAAAGAGUAACGGAGGAGCACGAAGGUUAGCUAAUCACGGUCGGACAUCGUGAGGUUAGUGCAAAGGCAUAAGCUAGCUUGACUGCGAGAGUGACGGCUCGAGCAGGUACGAAAGUAGGUCUUAGUGAUCCGGUGGUUCUGAAUGGAAGGGCCAUCGCUCAACGGAUAAAAGGUACUCCGGGGAUAACAGGCUGAUACCGCCCAAGAGUUCAUAUCGACGGCGGUGUUUGGCACCUCGAUGUCGGCUCAUCACAUCCUGGGGCUGAAGUAGGUCCCAAGGGUAUGGCUGUUCGCCAUUUAAAGUGGUACGCGAGCUGGGUUUAGAACGUCGUGAGACAGUUCGGUCCCUAUCUGCCGUGGGCGUUGGAAGAUUGAGAGGGGUUGCUCCUAGUACGAGAGGACCGGAGUGAACGCACCACUGGUGUUCGGGUUGUCAUGCCAAUGGCAUUGCCCGGUAGCUAAGUGCGGAAAAGAUAAGCGCUGAAAGCAUCUAAGCGCGAAACUUGCCUCAAGAUGAGUCUUCCCUGGGCCUUUAAGGCCCCUGAAGGAACGUUUAAGACUAAGACGUUGAUAGGCUGGGUGUGUAAGUGCAGCGAUGCAUUGAGCUAACCAGUACUAAUGAUCCGUGAGGCUUAACCUU
This 2906-nucleotide ribosomal RNA is filed under the name Serratia marcescens SM39. Its description in RNAcentral is "bacterial LSU rRNA". It matches the Rfam family "Bacterial large subunit ribosomal RNA". Lineage: Bacteria; Pseudomonadati; Pseudomonadota; Gammaproteobacteria; Enterobacterales; Yersiniaceae. The record is from RNAcentral.